AGUGAACGCUGGCGGCAGGCCUAACACAUGCAAGUCGAGCGGCAGCGCGGGGGGCAACCCUGGCGGCGAGCGGCGGACGGGUGAGGAAUGCAUCGGAAUCUACCUCGUUGUGGGGGAUAACCUCGGGAAACCGGGACUAAUACCGCAUACGACCUACGGGUGAAAGUGGGGGACCUUCGGGCCUCACGCGAUGAGAUGAGCCGAUGCCGGAUUAGCUAGUUGGCGGGGUAAAGGCCCACCAAGGCGACGAUCCGUAGCUGGUCUGAGAGGAUGAUCAGCCACACUGGAACUGAGACACGGUCCAGACUCCUACGGGAGGCAGCAGUGGGGAAUAUUGGACAAUGGGCGCAAGCCUGAUCCAGCCAUGCCGCGUGCGUG
RNAcentral lists this ribosomal RNA (378 nucleotides) under uncultured bacterium. RNAcentral describes it as "bacterial SSU rRNA". It matches the Rfam family "Bacterial small subunit ribosomal RNA", at positions 30 to 407 of the family's 1533-position model. The record is from RNAcentral.